Molecule: non-coding RNA, 1072 nt
Organism: Macaca mulatta (Rhesus monkey)
Lineage: Eukaryota; Metazoa; Chordata; Mammalia; Primates; Cercopithecidae
Source: RefSeq, a predicted model, not a curated record
GCUGGGAAGUUCAAGAUCAAGAGGUUGGCAUUUGGCAAGGGCCUUCUUGCUGUGUCAGACCGUAAUGGAAGGCAGAAGAGCAAGAGAGGAAGAAGGGGACAAACUCACUCCUUUAUAAUGCGGGAGAAACAGACCUCAAGAAGUUACAUGACUUGUUUAAGGAGCUGAGCUUGUUGGUUACAGAAGGACUAGAACCAGAGACUUCUGAUUCCCAGCCUUAUGCAAUUUCCACUGCACAAUGGCUACAUUUUAUGUGACAGAUGUUCAGAGAAAAGUGGAAAAGAUAAAGAUUGAAUGAUUCAGGAAGAAUUUCAUGGAAAAGCUUUUGUCUUCAUCAUCGGUGACCAGCAAACCAAGCUAAUCCUUUAACAACUCAAGCUAAUCCUUUAACAACUCAACCUCUCGUAAUAUCACUAAUGCAACUGGGGUCAACCCAUGGAACAGCUGCACCAAGCAAUGGAGAACAUUUCUUAGAAACCUCAGCACAGUUCACAGGCUGCGCAUGCAUUGCAGUGACUUAUUUAAAAAGACAAGAUGAAAUAUUGCAGCUAUCAAUAAUUCCUGCACAUGGCUGACUUCUAAUGAAAGGAUAAAGUUUCUGAGAAAGAGAGAAGAAAUGAAGAAAAGCAUUUUUAUCAAUUUCAAAGGAACCCUUUGAUACAAUCCUGAAAUUUUUUCUUGGGGAAAUAUUUUCUUUUAUUACCCUCCAUCAUACAGUGUUUGUUUAAUUUCCCCUUUUUUAGCAGGUAUAUAUUUCAGUUUUUAAUUUAAAAAAACACUGCUGUUACUCAUUGGUUUCUCCACAUCAUUUCAUUUCCCAUUUGCUAGUUUCUUCUUGGAAUUGUUGUUGUUGUUGUUACUGUCAGUGAUGAGGAAUUUCUUCUGAGACUUUAUUCUCUAAAAUAUUUGUCUGCAAAGGAGAAUAUGACCACAGGCGAUUUAAUUUUCCUAGACUUCAAUUUCCAUAUCUGCCAAAAAAUGUGUAAUUUCUGCUCCUUCCUUCAACACUUAGAAAUAUAAUAGUAUUUCCAUCAACAUGAUUCUCUGAAAUGUUUCAGUAAAAAUAUUAUUA